This 253-nucleotide ribosomal RNA is filed under the name uncultured bacterium. RNAcentral describes it as "partial 16S ribosomal RNA". It matches the Rfam family "Bacterial small subunit ribosomal RNA", at positions 524 to 776 of the family's 1533-position model. The record is from RNAcentral.
UACGUAGGGCGCAAGCGUUGUCCGGAAUUAUUGGGCGUAAAGAGCUCGUAGGCGGUCUGUUACGUCCGCUGUGAAAACCCAGGGCUUAACCCUGGGCUUGCAGUGGAUACGGGCAGACUAGAGGCAGGUAGGGGAGAAUGGAAUUCCCGGUGUAGCGGUGAAAUGCGCAGAUAUCGGGAGGAACACCGGUGGCGAAGGCGGUUCUCUGGGCCUGACCUGACGCUGAGGAGCGAAGGCCAGGGGAGCAAACGGG